AAUCAUUGAAUGAUUUGAGUUGGAAGGGACUCAUAAAGACCAUCUAGUCCAGUUCCCCUGCCAUGAACAGCUCGAUCAGGUGCCCAGAGCCCCAUCCAGCCUGACCUGGAGUGUCUCCUUAUUCCUGACCUUCCACUGGUGCUCAAAUUUGGACUUCUGCAACAUCCUUUCAGAGAGAGCCAACUUCCGUUCUGAUUUAAGAAAUCAUCCAAUUAGACUAACAGCUGCAGAGAUUGGAAUAAGCCUUGCAUGUGAGAAAAUUAAAGAAAAUGCAGCUGAGUACUAUGCAAAGCAGUGAAGCUUGGUCUGGUGCUUGACCUUGUCAUAAGCACGCAAGACAAUGUUCAGAGCUGUCCAGCUGCUUGCAACACCACUAAUCUCUAUAUGAAAUGAAAAAAACAGACUCUCCAAUCACAUCCAUGGAGCUGAAUUUAGUGAGGAGAUAUAUAAACACCAGAAUGCACUUAUCCACUACCUUGUCUUACAUGCACGGUGUACCUUGCCAAGGGAAAGUCCAAAGGAGAAGUUGUGGAACUGCGCUUUUCAUCAGCUGUCAAGACGGUUUCUUGUAUUACCUGGUCUCCAACAACUAUAAGUGCGGCUUAGAUGUCUGCCUUCCAUGUAAACACUUACAGGGAAAGUAUAAAAUUCCAUCUGAAG
Molecule: long non-coding RNA, 660 nt
Organism: Gallus gallus (chicken)
Lineage: Eukaryota; Metazoa; Chordata; Aves; Galliformes; Phasianidae
Source: Ensembl